CUACGUGCCAGCAGCCGCGGUAAUACGGAAGGUCCAGGCGUUAUCCGGAUUUAUUGGGUUUAAAGGGAGCGUAGGCUGGAGAUUAAGUGUGUUGUGAAAUGUAGACGCUCAACGUCUGAAUUGCAGCGCAUACUGGUUUCCUUGAGUACGCACAACGUUGGCGGAAUUCGUCGUGUAGCGGUGAAAUGCUUAGAUAUGACGAAGAACUCCGAUUGCGAAGGCAGCUGACGGGAGCGCAACUGACGCUUAAGCUCGAAGGUGCGGGUAUCAAACAGGAUUAGAUACCCUGGUAGUCCGCACAGUAAACGAUGGAUGCCCGCUGUUGGUACCUGGUAUCAGCGGCUAAGCGAAAGCGUUAAGCAUCCCACCUGGGGAGUACGCCGGCAACGGUGAAACUCAAAGGAAUUGACGGGGGCCCGCACAAGCGGAGGAACAUGUGGUUUAAUUCGAUGAUACGCGAGGAACCUUACCCGGGCUUGAAC
RNAcentral lists this ribosomal RNA (482 nucleotides) under uncultured bacterium. RNAcentral's name for it is "bacterial SSU rRNA". It matches the Rfam family "Bacterial small subunit ribosomal RNA", at positions 501 to 986 of the family's 1533-position model. The record is from RNAcentral.